RNAcentral lists this ribosomal RNA (406 nucleotides) under uncultured bacterium. RNAcentral describes it as "partial 16S ribosomal RNA". It matches the Rfam family "Bacterial small subunit ribosomal RNA", at positions 30 to 526 of the family's 1533-position model. The record is from RNAcentral.
AUUGAACGCUGGCGGCAGGCCUAACACAUGCAAGUCGAACGAGUGGCGGACGGGUGAGUAAUGUUUGGGAAUCUAGCUUAUGGAGGGGGAUAACUACUGGAAACGGUAGCUAAUACCGCGUACCAUCGGAUGCGCCCAAGUGGGAUUAGUUAGUUGGUGAGGUAAAGGCUCACCAAGCCGACGAUCCCUAGCUGGUCUGAGAGGAUGACCAGCCACACUGGGACUGAGACACGGCCCAGACUCCUACGGGAGGCAGCAGUGGGGAAUAUUGCACAAUGGGGGCAACCCUGACGCAGCCAUGCCGCGUGAAUGAAGAAGGCCUUCGGGUUGUAAAGUACUUUCGGUAGCGAGGCGUUACCUACAGAAGAAGCACCGGCUAACUCCGUGCCAGCCGCCGCGGUAAUAC